RNAcentral lists this long non-coding RNA (252 nucleotides) under Lathyrus oleraceus (garden pea). RNAcentral's name for it is "Pisum sativum (pea) long non-coding RNA (PSAT_LNC000791)". The record is from RNAcentral. Lineage: Eukaryota; Viridiplantae; Streptophyta; Magnoliopsida; Fabales; Fabaceae.
AGUGUUACCUAUGGUGAUGGUAACAAACUUUAGUGUGCUCUGGUCCAAUGGUGGGGAUCGAGAGCGUAUAAUUGGUUUCAGGUGGGAAUUGGUGAAGCGUUACCUAUGGUUAUGGUAAUGAUUUUGUGUGCUCUGUUCCUAAGGUUGGGACCGGGAGCGAGAUGAACUUGAGUAUUCAUAAAUGGUACCGCAUGCAUAAUGAGUCAGUUGUGGAUCACAUUCCAUGCGUGUUUUCAUAUGUGUUGAUCUUUC